GACAGAGGGUGCAAACGUUGUUCGGAAUUACUGGGCGUAAAGGGCGCGUAGGCGGCCUUCUAAGUCGAACGUGAAAUCCCUCGGCUCAACCGGGGAACUGCGUCUGAUACUGGGUGGCUUGAAUCCGGGAGAGGGAUGCGGAAUUCCAGGUGUAGCGGUGAAAUGCGUAGAUAUCUGGAGGAACACCGGUGGCGAAGGCGGCAUCCUGGACCGGCAUUGACGCUGAGGCGCGAAAGCCAGGAGCAAACGGG
Molecule: ribosomal RNA, 251 nt
Filed under: uncultured bacterium
Lineage: Bacteria
Description: partial 16S ribosomal RNA
Rfam family: Bacterial small subunit ribosomal RNA
Source: RNAcentral